This 329-nucleotide ribosomal RNA is filed under the name uncultured eukaryote. RNAcentral describes it as "partial 18S ribosomal RNA". It matches the Rfam family "Eukaryotic small subunit ribosomal RNA", at positions 1470 to 1796 of the family's 1831-position model. The record is from RNAcentral.
CCCUUAGAUGUCCUGGGCCGCACGCGCGCUACACUGAGUGUCUGAGAUACGAGUCUGCCUGGUCCGGCAAGGUCUAGGUAAUCGCUAAAAGACACAUCAUGCUUGGGAUAGAUUAUUGCAAAUAUUAAUCUUGAACGAGGAAUUCCUAGUAAGCGCAAGUCAACAGCCUGCGUUUAUUACGUCCCUGCCCUUUGUACACACCGCCCGUCGCUACUACUGAUUGGAUGUUUAAGCGAGGUUCUCGAACUGCUAGCGACUUAGCUUCGGUGAGGUCGCAGUGUGGGAAGUGAACCUAGCUUUGGUGUCUAGAGGAAGUAAAAGUCGUAACA